AGCUCCAAGCAAGCUCCAGACGCCGACUGAGAGUGGGUUUGGUUACAGUGGAGCGGGGGAUAGUCUCAUUGGUGUGCGACGAUUUGAAUGGGCGUGACUCCAACGGGAAUAAGCCCCGCCCACUUUUUAAAGUCGAGAACCUACAUUUAAGAGAAAAGACACUAUCAGCCACCAGGCGUGGAGGAAUGGGAAGGUCAGCCCAGAGGUUCUGGGUCGUGGGGGCAGCAGAAUCAGCAGGGACUUCCAGACCUCCCUCUCCCCACACACUUUCUCCAGCUCUGCUGGGGAAAGCUAGAGGUGCUCCCAUCCCCGCCGAGAGUCCAUCCAGCAUUUCCUGGGUCAUCCCCUGGGACUCCUUCCUGCAGAACACCUCCCAAGGAGGUGUUCUAGGCAGCCAAGAGGUCCAUGAUUACUCUGGAGAGAUUUGGGAAUUUCACACUACAAGCGAGAAAAUCAUUUGUGCUCUGUAUAAAUAUCUUUUAUGGAACAGACGUGAGAGAUGAUUCUCAUCUUCCAGCAGGGCAAAAACUGUAAACAUACAGCCAGUGGGUGGAAUCCCAUCUACUCUCUUUACACUGCUCUGUUAUCCACAAAACAGACAUAGUUGUGAGGUUUAUGGACAAAAUCCACCAGAGGGUCUCAUAUAUAAUAAUUAUGAGACCUGCUACAGAGAAGAGGUCCACAAUCUGACACAGUGGUUUUCCAGGAAAAACCUUGCUGGGGUGUGUUGGCCUAGUGGUUAGAGCAGUGCGCUUGUGCUUUGAGAAGGUUGUAAGUACCCAGUUCGAUCCCCACAGCCUCCACUCUGGGUUCCUGAGCAAAAAAACCUUAACCCCAUACUGCUCCCUGGGCACUGCACAAUGGCAGCCCACUGCUCCCCAAGGGGAUGGGUUAAUUGCAGAGGUAAAUUUCUCUAGUGUGAGAUCAAUAAAGUUUAAAUUAUUUUUAUCCUGAACACCAGUAACCAUAAGGAGGACAUAGUAGACUGCAAGAGGUCCAGGAAACCUGACUUUGCUCAUUUCUGCAUAGACUGGAAAGUGGUGUAAUUUAUGGCUGUGUAAAGUUCCUGGGCAUUCACGCUUACUCUGACCUCUAUUGGAACUCCCAUGUGGUGAGGAAGACCCAACAACAGCACCUAUUUCUCAGAAAGAAUUGACACUUCUACAGCACCAUGAUUUAAAGCAUCCUCAAUCUCAGCAUUAAGUUGUGGUAUGGAAGCUGUCUGGCACAAGGUAGGAAGGAUUUAGUCCUGAUAGUGAAGAUAGUGAGUGGGAUUGUCGGAUGCCUUCUACCAGAUCUAGACACAGUCAAUGGGACUUGCAGAAAAAGGUCAAACCAAUUACUAAAGGUACCCCACCCACUUCCAUCAAGAAAAUAGUUUCAGCUGCAUUAAAUCCAGAGCAAAUAGACCUAAAACAGUUUGUCUCUCAAAGAUUUGAAUUUCCUAUAAGAAUUUCCUCCCACAGUCCAAAAACAUUACUGUUAGAUUAAUUGGCCUCUCUAAAUUGUCCUUAGGUGUGAGUGUGUGUCUGCAUUGUUGUGUGUCUCUGUUUUGCCCUGUGGCAGACUGGCGACCUGACCAGGGAGCACCCCGCCUGCGCUUAGGCUGCCGAAGAUAGGCACAGGCCCCACUGCAGCCGUACAUAAAAAGUUGUGUGUAUUUUGAGCACUGUAAAUUGCGCUUUACAAAAAAAAGUCUGGUUAGAUAAGAUUGGCUUACAUUUGAGAAAAAAUUAUUUUAUCAUCAGGUAUAAAACAUGCGUCUGUUUCUAGGGAUAACACUGUAAUCCAAAGCACAAGUUAGCUUCAAUAAAAACCCCAAAAUAAAAACUUAGUAUCAGUUAAUGUUAUUUAUUGGAUGAAAUAAAUACAAAAAAAAAUCUCUCUUGACAAAUUAUUUAAUAUGACCUGCUACACCCAAACUCACACAUUUAUAAGUCAAGAUCAAAAAGCCACUGUUGCAUUCAAAACUCUGAGCUAUGUACAUUAAUAAACUUGACACAGGCCUUUUUCAUUACAUAUGAACUCAUGAAGAACAUUACCAACCCCCAUAUUACCCAACGCUUUCUUCCUUAGGAUGCAUAUUAGAUUAAAGAUUUCAUUGUCACACUCAAUGCACUUAGAGUGUUGGCAAACUAAAUCACAAGGAGACAGCAUGUCAUAGAAGAGACACCUUGGGUUGACUAAGUCAUGACAAGCCAGCACAAAUCGAUGAGAUGGACUAAUCGGAUGUAUCUGCUGGGACAAGCUCUGCACUGAAUCCAAAUGAUAGACACCAGAUGGGGACUGAUGCUGCCAUUAGUACACAAUCAGUGCAGCAGACACAGAAAUGUAAGGACAGGGGCCUCCUAUUCAUCGAGGCAUCAGCUUUUCAGGAGGCGCAGUCAAGGUCCCCCUUUUCAGAGAGGAAGAGCAGGAGUGUAUUAAAGAGGAUGGAUCGUCUUUGUCUGGGCAGGUGCAAAAACAUGUAAACGCACAUGAAGAGAAAUAUAUUGAAGAAAGAAAAUAAUAAGCACUUAUUUGAACAUUCCAAGGAUAUAAAAUUCUAAUCACGGUAAAUCUUUUAUGUCUAUAAACUGAGGGGAUGAAUCGUGCACUUUUAGUUAUUAGAUUACUAUUUUUAAAGCAGAGAGGCAGCAAACUAAUUGAAGUUUCUGCCAGAUAACAGAGCUUGUCACUCUAUGCUCAUGGCUGAGCACAGCCACCCUUUAGAGCAGGGGUGUCAAACUGGUUCCAGAAAGGGCCGUGU
This is a long non-coding RNA of Cyprinodon variegatus (sheepshead minnow), 2749 nucleotides long. RefSeq lists it as uncharacterized. The record is from RefSeq and is a predicted model, not a curated record. The transcript has 3 exons. Lineage: Eukaryota; Metazoa; Chordata; Actinopteri; Cyprinodontiformes; Cyprinodontidae.